UUCUCUGAAUUCUACAUGGUAAACAUGCUCAUCCAGAGGAUCUGCCUGGACGGGCAAAGGUGCUAGAUGGUUUUCAGUUCUUCUUCCGUUAGUCUUUUUGGAAGGCAUAUUCUACAACAGAAGGGAAACUUGAAUUAGACAGAGAGUUUAACUUGAACUCAUGCUCACUUGCAUGACAUGGACAGUGAAAGAAGGGAAACUUUUUUUAAAAAUGCCUUAUAACCUCUUGCCCAUAAGUGUGGAGCGCU
Molecule: long non-coding RNA, 248 nt
Filed under: Capsicum annuum
Lineage: Eukaryota; Viridiplantae; Streptophyta; Magnoliopsida; Solanales; Solanaceae
Description: long non-coding RNA (CANN_LNC019319)
Source: RNAcentral